UCACUUCCUCCAUCAACUGUUAACUGAAGACUCAAAUUGAUGGAGGUUUAAGAGGCUUAAAAGUCAUAAACCAUUUAUACUUGAAGCCCACAAUCUCCUGGAACAGCUUGGGGAUGCUAAACCAAACUUAUGGGCAGCCAGAGUGGGCUAUUCUUACCAUGUUUUAUACCAACACCAAACGAGCCCACAUUGGGCAUGACCUUGGGAAAGAAGUGUGGGUCAAGCU
Gavialis gangeticus (Gharial) is the source of this 226-nucleotide long non-coding RNA. RefSeq lists it as uncharacterized. The transcript has 3 exons. The record is from RefSeq and is a predicted model, not a curated record. Lineage: Eukaryota; Metazoa; Chordata; Crocodylia; Gavialidae.